This 72-nucleotide transfer RNA is filed under the name Camelus ferus (Wild Bactrian camel). It matches the Rfam family "tRNA". From Rfam's summary of the family: Transfer RNA (tRNA) molecules are approximately 80 nucleotides in length. Lineage: Eukaryota; Metazoa; Chordata; Mammalia; Artiodactyla; Camelidae. The record is from Rfam by way of RNAcentral.
GAGGGUAUAGCUCAAGUGGUAGAGCACAUGCUUGGUAUGUAUGAGGUCCUGGGUUCAAUCCCUAUGCCUCCA